UCGUGCUAGACGGGGAGCUAGCGGUGCCCUGUAACCCACAACCCGCUCCAGUGGGGUUGAAUUCCUUGCCGCGGCCACCUCUCUUCUGGCCCGAAUUCGAGGAGGAGGCGAUGAGGGUCAGGGCCCUCCGCGAGGCGUCGCCUGCCAACCCCGCCAGGACCGGAAGGUAGCAACGGUAGCAGGAAUGAUUCCUGGGCGUGAGGUCGCCUUGCCUGAGCCGAUGACUCGAGUUACGCAGGGGAGGGGCUGGUCAGAGCAAGGUGCACGA
Molecule: signal recognition particle RNA, 268 nt
Filed under: Candidatus Aminicenantota bacterium
Lineage: Bacteria; Candidatus Aminicenantota
Description: Candidatus Aminicenantes bacterium (hot springs metagenome) signal recognition particle sRNA large type
Rfam family: Bacterial large signal recognition particle RNA
About the family: The signal recognition particle (SRP) is a universally conserved ribonucleoprotein involved in the co-translational targeting of proteins to membranes. Archaeal SRP consists of a 7S RNA and homologues of the eukaryotic SRP19 and SRP54 proteins. In most bacteria, the SRP consists of a 4.5S RNA and the Ffh protein (a homologue of the eukaryotic SRP54 protein).
Source: RNAcentral